Long non-coding RNA from Glycine soja, 1118 nucleotides. RefSeq lists it as uncharacterized. NCBI's taxonomy places the organism in Eukaryota, Viridiplantae, Streptophyta, Magnoliopsida, Fabales, Fabaceae. The transcript is spliced from 2 exons. The record is from RefSeq and is a predicted model, not a curated record.
CCUAGGAACACUACUUAGUUAGUGCAAAAUGUGCAUUUAUCCCUAUUUGAAAACAAACUCUCUUUCCUAAGGAUUUCCAAAACACUUCCACUACAAAAAAACGUUUUUCCCACGGAAUUUUUCCCACCGAAUUAAUUCCGUCGGAAAUAUUUGAAUUUUGGACAGAAUUUUUUCCAUGGAAUUCAUUUCGUCGGAAGUAUAACUUACCCAAGGAGAUUCGUUUGUCGAAAAUUUGAUAGCUUUCCAGCAGAUUAUUUCAAUGGAAUAUGCAUCUGUCGGAAUUUAAAAAUUUUCCCAAACAUAAAGACCCCAACCCUAAUUGCCUCUCUUUCAAUUUUCAAUCUUAUAUCAUUUCUUCCUCCCAUGGCACCAUCGCUCGCUCCCGUCGUGUCACCGACAUUGCUGCGCCGCCACUGCGAACCCACACAAGGAUUGUCACCCCCGCCGUCUUUCUUCACUGGGGCUGCAACAUCAUUGAUUAUGGGUCUCUACGCCCUUCACAAGGGAUUGUCGCGCCUGCCAAUAAUACAUAACAACACAUCCUAGGGUUCGUGGUCCCAUUCUCUUUGUCCUUUGCCUUUGUAUUCCCUCACAACAACGAUCAUUUGAAAGUUGAAGAGGUAAAUGAAUUUGGUCUCUUUCUUUUGUAUCUCUGGUUUUGAACUUAUCUAGAUGAAAUUGUAAUUUUGAUACUACAAGUAGCUAAGAAACCUGUAUUAAGUUUUUUGUUUGAAAUAUUUGUUUGAAGCAUAGAUUAUAUAUUGUAGUGAUGAAAAUAAUGUACAAACAUAUAUAAUUAUUGUAAAUAUUAAUGAACAUACGUAGUAAGCAGUGACUGUGCCAGCAAAGUUGCCGACAAUGAGCUUGAGCUGCAUAUCAAUCCUCCCAAAUAGGUAUUCUUUCUUUGAUUUGAAGUCAGAGCCAAAGACUUUGUCUAGGGAAAGUGAUAGAAGCUGGCCAUCAUUGAAUAUGUUAGCACGGUCGCCACCCCAUGUUAGAUCAAAGUCUUGGUAGAAGCUAGAAGCACAGAUGCAACCAUAGUGCUAACCAGUAUCCCAACUAGCAUAAGCACAUAGAACCCAUUGUUGUGAGCAGAACUAGGAGCCAUUUUGGACACA